UGAUCCUGGCUCAGGACGAACGCUGGCGGCGCGCCUAACACAUGCAAGUCGAACGAGAGAUGAGGAGCUUGCUCUUCAAAUCGAGUGGCGAACGGGUGAGUAACGCGUGAGGAACCUGCCUCAAAGAGGGGGACAACAGUUGGAAACGACUGCUAAUACCGCAUAAGCCCACGGCUCGGCAGCGAGCAGAGGGAAAAGGAGCAAUCCGCUUUGAGAUGGCCUCGCGUCCGAUUAGCUGGUUGGUGAGGUAACGGCCCACCAAGGCGACGAUCGGUAGCCGGACUGAGAGGUUGAACGGCCACAUUGGGACUGAGACACGGCCCAGACUCCUACGGGAGGCAGCAGUGGGGAAUAUUGCACAAUGGGGGAAACCCUGAUGCAGCGACGCCGCGUGGAGGAAGAAGGUCUUCGGAUUGUAAACUCCUGUUGUUGAGGAAGAUAAUGACGGUACUCAACAAGGAAGUGACGGCUAACUACGUGCCAGCAGCCGCGGUAAAACGUAGGUCACAAGCGUUGUCCGGAAUUACUGGGCGUAAAGGGAGCGCAGGCGGGAGAACAAGUUGGAAGUGAAAUCCAUGGGCUCAACCCAUGAACUGCUUUCAAAACUGUUUUUCUUGAGUAGUGCAGAGGUAGGCGGAAUUCCCGGUGUAGCGGUGGAAUGCGUAGAUAUCGGGAGGAACACCAGUGGCGAAGGCGGCCUACUGGGCACCAACUGACGCUGAGGCUCGAAAGUGUGGGUAGCAAACAGGAUUAGAUACCCUGGUAGUCCACACCGUAAACGAUGAUUACUAGGUGUUGGAGGAUUGACCCCUUCAGUGCCGCAGUUAACACAAUAAGUAAUCCACCUGGGGAGUACGACCGC
This 862-nucleotide ribosomal RNA is filed under the name uncultured bacterium. RNAcentral describes it as "bacterial SSU rRNA". It matches the Rfam family "Bacterial small subunit ribosomal RNA", at positions 14 to 889 of the family's 1533-position model. The record is from RNAcentral.